RNAcentral lists this ribosomal RNA (477 nucleotides) under Arthrobacter sp. 4S2.H12. Its description in RNAcentral is "bacterial SSU rRNA". It matches the Rfam family "Bacterial small subunit ribosomal RNA", at positions 38 to 526 of the family's 1533-position model. Lineage: Bacteria; Bacillati; Actinomycetota; Actinomycetes; Micrococcales; Micrococcaceae. The record is from RNAcentral. RNAcentral also lists the same sequence under 1 other name.
GGCGGCGUGCUUAACACAUGCAAGUCGAACGAUGAUCUCCAGCUUGCUGGGGGGAUUAGUGGCGAACGGGUGAGUAACACGUGAGUAACCUGCCCUUAACUCUGGGAUAAGCCUGGGAAACUGGGUCUAAUACCGGAUAUGACUCCUCAUCGCAUGGUGGGGGGUGGAAAGCUUUAUUGUGGUUUUGGAUGGACUCGCGGCCUAUCAGCUUGUUGGUGAGGUAAUGGCUCACCAAGGCGACGACGGGUAGCCGGCCUGAGAGGGUGACCGGCCACACUGGGACUGAGACACGGCCCAGACUCCUACGGGAGGCAGCAGUGGGGAAUAUUGCACAAUGGGCGCAAGCCUGAUGCAGCGACGCCGCGUGAGGGAUGACGGCCUUCGGGUUGUAAACCUCUUUCAGUAGGGAAGAAGCGAAAGUGACGGUACCUGCAGAAGAAGCGCCGGCUAACUACGUGCCAGCAGCCGCGGUAAUAC